Molecule: transfer RNA, 74 nt
Filed under: Marinilabiliaceae bacterium
Lineage: Bacteria; Pseudomonadati; Bacteroidota; Bacteroidia; Marinilabiliales; Marinilabiliaceae
Also listed under: 1 other name
Description: tRNA-Thr
Rfam family: tRNA
About the family: Transfer RNA (tRNA) molecules are approximately 80 nucleotides in length.
Source: RNAcentral
GCCGAUGUAGCUCAGUUGGCUAGAGCAGCUGAUUUGUAAUCAGCAGGUCGGGGGUUCGAGUCCCUUCAUCGGCU